CCUACGGGAGGCAGCAGUAGGGAAUAUUGCACAAUGGGCGAAAGCCUGAUGCAGCAACGCCGCGUGCGCGAAGAAGGUCUUCGGAUCGUAAAGCGCUUUUCUGGGAGAUGAGAAAGGACAGUAUCCCAGGAAUAAGUCUCGGCUAACUACGUGCCAGCAGCCGCGGUAACACGUAGGAGGCGAGCGUUAUCCGGAUUCACUGGGCGUAAAGCGCGUGCAGGCGGUUCGGUAAGUUGGGCGUGAAAUCUCCCGGCUCAACUGGGAGAGGUCGUUCAAUACUACCGGACUUGAGAGCGAUAGAGGAAAAUGGAAUUCCCGGUGUAGUGGUGAAAUGCGUAGAUAUCGGGAGGAACACCAGUGGCGAAAGCGAUUUUCUGGAUCGUUUCUGACGCUCAGACGCGAAAGCUAGGGUAGCAAACGGGAUUAGAGACCCCGGUAGUCCUAGCCGUAAACGAUGUGAACUUGGCGUCGGUGGCUUAAACUCCAUCGGUGCCGAAGCCAACGCGAUAAGUUCACCGCCUGGGGACUACGACCGCAAGGUUAAAACUCAAAGGAAUUGACGG
RNAcentral lists this ribosomal RNA (563 nucleotides) under uncultured bacterium. Its description in RNAcentral is "bacterial SSU rRNA". It matches the Rfam family "Bacterial small subunit ribosomal RNA", at positions 338 to 916 of the family's 1533-position model. The record is from RNAcentral.